GAUGAGCGCGCCGGGACCAGGUCGCGGGUUACGACAACUGGCGUCUCAACGCGGGGCUCAGUAAAACUUCUUCAAGAAUUUUUUCCUGGCCAUUGACUCUGAACCCCAUGAACCCCACCAGCAUCCCAAAACCUGAUCAUAUGUCACCCAACGUCUGGGGCUAUGAGUCAUUUCAUCUGGACUCUGAAAUUUGUGUAAAUUUGGAUUCAGAACCUGACUGGAUGAACAGGGCUAAGAAAUCAAAGGGGUCAUUUGUACCUCCGGCUGACUGGGAGGUUAUUGGUGUCUGCAAUGAAUGCAUUUUAAAAG
Suricata suricatta (meerkat) is the source of this 309-nucleotide long non-coding RNA. RefSeq lists it as uncharacterized. The record is from RefSeq and is a predicted model, not a curated record. Lineage: Eukaryota; Metazoa; Chordata; Mammalia; Carnivora; Herpestidae. The transcript has 3 exons.